CGAGAAAUAACGAGAUCGUUCUCUUUGAGGUCGAUCAUUGGAAUGAGUACAAUCCAGACACUUUAACGAGUAUCUACGAGAGGGCAAGUCUGGUGCCAGCAGCCGCGGUAAUUCCAGCUCUCGUAAGGUAUAGAAUUAUUGCUGUGGUUAAAAAGUUCGUAGUUGGAUUUGCAAGUUGGUGAAAGUCCACUCUAACGAGUGCGUACUCUUUGCCUUCAUUUUGUUGACAUGGGUGCAGGUCGGCUUCGGUUGGCUUGUGCUCGGUUAGCAGGAUUACUUUGAACGGCUCAAGUGCUUAAAGCACGUCUUAUGACUGAAUACCGGUGCAUGGAAUAAUGGAAAAAGGCUACGGCCGAGUUUUAUUGGUUUUAUCGGUUGAAGCAAUGGUUAAAAGGAACAACCGGGGGCAUUCGUAUCGCUACGCGAGAGGUGAAAUUCGUGGACCGUAGCGAGACGCCCAAAAGCGAAGGCACUUGCCAAGAGUGUUUUCAUUAAUCAAGAACGAAAGUCAGAGGUUCGAAGGCGAUUAGAUACCGCCCUAGUUCUGACCGUAAACGAUGCCAACUGUCGAUUCGCUUGUGGAUUUCAUUCAUGAGCGAGGAGGUUCCCGGAAACGAAAGUUUUUCGGUUCCGGGGGAAGUAUGGUUGCAAAGCUGAAACUUAAAGGAAUUGACGGAAGGGCACCACCAGGAGUGGAGCUUGCGGCUUAAUUUGACUCAACACGGGAAAUCUCACCCGGCCAGUACAUUGUAAGGAUUGACAGACUGAUAGCUCUUUCAUGAUUCGGUGAAUGGUGGUGCAUGGCCGUUCUUAGUUCGUGGGCUGGCCUGUCUGGUUUAUUCCRAUAACGAGCGAGACUUUAACUACUAAAUAGUGCGCAAAUUUGCCUUGUGCAUGUUGGUGAUCACUUCU
RNAcentral lists this ribosomal RNA (912 nucleotides) under Seinura sp. FH-2020. Its description in RNAcentral is "SSU rRNA". It matches the Rfam family "Eukaryotic small subunit ribosomal RNA", at positions 473 to 1430 of the family's 1831-position model. Lineage: Eukaryota; Metazoa; Nematoda; Chromadorea; Rhabditida; Aphelenchidae. The record is from RNAcentral.